UAAGCGGAGGAAAAGAAACUAACAAGGAUUCCCCUAGUAACGGCGAGUGAAGUGGGAAAAGCUCAACUUUGUAAUCUGGCUGUCUUUGGCAGUCCGAGUUGUAGUCUAGAGAAGUGUUAUCCGCGCAGCCCCUUAUAGAUUUCGGUUGGAAUGCCAAGUCAAAGAGGGUGAGAAUCCCGUAUUUGAUAAGGUGGGCUUGUGCAUUGUGAUACAUUUUCAAAGAGUCGAGUUGUUUGGGAAUGCAGCUCAAAGUGGGUGGUAAAUUCCAUCUAAAGCUAAAUAUUGGCGAGAGACCGAUAGCGAACAAGUACCGUGAGGGAAAGAUGAAAAGCACUUUGGAAAGAGAAUGAAAUAGUACAUGAAAUUGCUGAAAGGGAAACGAUUGAAGUUAGACUUGCGCGGUUGGUAUUCAGCCUUGGCUUCGGUCUUGGUGCAUUUGCCUUCCAUUGCAGGCCAGCAUCAGUUUACUUUGCUGUAAAAGGGUUUGAGGAAUGUGGCUUCUUCGGGAGUGUUAUAGCCUCUUUCUGGAUGCAGAAUCGUAGACUGAGGAACGCAGCGCGCCUUUAUGGCAAAGCUUUNNAGCUUCGAGCGCUUAGGAUGCUGGUAGAAUAGCUUUAAACGACCCGUCUUGAAACACG
RNAcentral lists this ribosomal RNA (638 nucleotides) under Kondoa yuccicola. Its description in RNAcentral is "eukaryotic LSU rRNA". It matches the Rfam family "Eukaryotic large subunit ribosomal RNA", at positions 47 to 663 of the family's 3401-position model. The record is from RNAcentral. Lineage: Eukaryota; Fungi; Basidiomycota; Agaricostilbomycetes; Agaricostilbales; Kondoaceae.